Molecule: small nucleolar RNA, 72 nt
Organism: Phyllostomus discolor (pale spear-nosed bat)
Lineage: Eukaryota; Metazoa; Chordata; Mammalia; Chiroptera; Phyllostomidae
Product: small nucleolar RNA SNORD113/SNORD114 family
Exons: 1
Source: RefSeq, a predicted model, not a curated record
UGGAUCAAUGAUGACUAAGGGUGGCGUAUGAGUCUCAGACUGUGACUCUGUGUCUGUAACUCUGAGGUCCAA